GACGAACGCUGGCGGCGCGCUUAAUACAUGCAAGUCGAGCGAGAACCGGAGCUUCGGCUCCGGGGACAGCGGCGAACGGGUGAGUAACACGUGGGUAACCUGCCCUCGGCACCGGGAUAGCCCGGGGAAACCCGGAUUAAUACCGGAUGGCCCUUUCGGUCUUCGGACCGGUCGGCAAAGGUAGCUUCGGCCUCCGGCCGAGGAUGGGCCCGCGGCGGAUUAGCUUGUUGGGGAGGUAACGGCUCACCAAGGCUCCGAUCCGUAGCUGGUCUGAGAGGACGAUCGGCCACACUGGGACUGAGACACGGCCCAGACUCCUACGGGAGGCAGCAGUAGGGAAUCUUGCGCAAUGGGCGAAAGCCUGACGCAGCGACGCCGCGUGCGGGAAGACGGCCUUCGGGUUGUAAACCGCUUUCAGGAGGGACGAAGCCACUCGGGUGAAUAGCCCAGAGGGUGACGGUACCUCCAGAAGAAGCCCCGGCUAACUACGUGCCAGCAGCCGCAGUAA
RNAcentral lists this ribosomal RNA (508 nucleotides) under uncultured bacterium. RNAcentral's name for it is "partial 16S ribosomal RNA". It matches the Rfam family "Bacterial small subunit ribosomal RNA", at positions 28 to 523 of the family's 1533-position model. The record is from RNAcentral.